CAGCAGCAGAAUAAUACCGCGGCGUGUGGUGUGCGCCCAGCGAGGACGCCGCAUUCUACACACAAGGAAUACUGCCAACUACAUCAGGACCAUUCUAAGAGAUAGUGACCAGGCUGUACUGACACGGAUUGUUAACGGACUUCAAUCUCUGAUUUCUUCAGUCCUCUUGAGAUAUAAGUUUCUUUGGUAACACACCGCCAACAUUGAGCCACCUGUUUCCUGACAUACUGCUAUGGCUGCACAAGUAAGG
Bufo bufo (common toad) is the source of this 250-nucleotide long non-coding RNA. RefSeq lists it as uncharacterized. The record is from RefSeq and is a predicted model, not a curated record. The transcript is spliced from 5 exons. NCBI's taxonomy places the organism in Eukaryota, Metazoa, Chordata, Amphibia, Anura, Bufonidae.